CCUACGGGAGGCAGCAGUAGGGAAUCUUCCACAAUGGACGAAAGUCUGAUGGAGCAACGCCGCGUGAGUGAUGAAGGUUUUCGGAUCGUAAAACUCUGUUGUUAAAGAAGAACAAGUGUUAGAGUAACUGUUAACACUUUGACGGUAUUUAACCAGAAAGCCACGGCUAACUACGUGCCAGCAGCCGCGGUAAU
RNAcentral lists this ribosomal RNA (194 nucleotides) under uncultured Lactobacillus sp. RNAcentral describes it as "partial 16S ribosomal RNA". It matches the Rfam family "Bacterial small subunit ribosomal RNA", at positions 338 to 524 of the family's 1533-position model. Lineage: Bacteria; Bacillati; Bacillota; Bacilli; Lactobacillales; Lactobacillaceae. The record is from RNAcentral.